GCAGAAGAGGACAGUGGAACUCCAUGUGUAGCGGUGGAAUGCGUAGAUAUAUGGAAGAACACCAGUGGCGAAGGCGGCUGUCUAGUCNGUAACUGACGCUGAGGCUCGAAAGCAUGGGUAGCGAACAGGAUUAGAUACCCUGGUAGUCCAUGCCGUAAACGAUGAGUGCUAAGUGUUGGAGGGUUUCCGCCCUUCAGUGCUGCAGCUAACGCAUUAAGCACUCCGCCUGGGGAGUACGACCGCAAGGUUGAAACUCAAAGGAAUUGACGGGGGCCCGCACAAGCGGUGGAGCAUGUGGUUUAAUUCGAAGCUACGCGAAGAACCUUACCAGGUCUUGACAUCUUCUGCCAAUCUUAGAGAUAAGACGUUCCCUUCGGGGACAGAAUGACAGGUGGUGCAUGGUUGUCGUCAGCUCGUGUCGUGAGAUGUUGGGUUAAGUCCCGCAACGAGCGCAACCCUUAUUAUCAGUUGCCAGCAUUCAGUUGGGCACUCUGGUGAGACUGCCGGUGACAAACCGGAGGAAGGUGGGGAUGACGUCAAAUCAUCAUGCCCCUUAUGACCUGGGCUACACACGUGCUACAAUGGACGGUACAACGAGUUGCGAACUCGCGAGAGUAAGCUAAUCUCUUAAAGCCAUUCUCAGUUCGGAUUGUAGGCUGCAACUCGCCUACAUGAAGUCGGAAUCGCUAGUAAUCGCGGAUCAGCAUGCCGCGGUGAAUACGUUCCCGGGCCUUGUACACACCGCCCGUCACACCAUGAGAGUUUGUAACACCCAAAGUCGGUGGGGUAACCUUUUAGGAACCAGCCGCCUAAGGUGGGACAGAUGAUUAGGGUGAAGUCGUAANCAAGGUAGCCGUA
This 858-nucleotide ribosomal RNA is filed under the name uncultured bacterium. RNAcentral describes it as "bacterial SSU rRNA". It matches the Rfam family "Bacterial small subunit ribosomal RNA", at positions 648 to 1504 of the family's 1533-position model. The record is from RNAcentral.